Molecule: long non-coding RNA, 423 nt
Filed under: Zonotrichia albicollis (white-throated sparrow)
Lineage: Eukaryota; Metazoa; Chordata; Aves; Passeriformes; Passerellidae
Description: lncRNA (ENSZALG00000009734.1)
Source: RNAcentral
UAACCUACUCUCCACACAACCCAGUGUUGCCUGCAUCCUACUGAUCAUACAAGAAAGGCAAACAACCAUUUCUGUGCAGAGGGACAGUAUAGACUUGGUGAAUGUGGGAGUCUGUAAGCAGCGUCUCCAGAGCCCCAGGAUGGGAAAGUAACUGCCUUUGGAAUAACUGAACUCUACCUGGGAGUCGCAGUGUCUCUCAAGACCCUAUAUGCACUGGAAGCUGCCUCCAAGUGCCCAACGUUUCAAACUCUCCCAGGACAGAAGUGAUUGAAUGGUUAGUCCCAAUGCCAUAUUCUCUUUUCAUGUGAUCCAGCCACAGUUUCAGUCCUGAAAGGGAUGUAAAAAAUUUAGCAACAUUUUACAUGUCUUUAUCUUAAUGUCUCAGAUGGAGACCAUGGCAUGUGUGUGGCAGGCUUAUUUAAU